GUUCUGUUAUCUUUCAACUUUGUCCUAAUGCAAGGUAUACUAAUUGUGGUCUGCUCAAAAUUUAAUCAUGAAGGGGUUUCAGAAUACACUUCUGAUGUCAUCCGAUUCAUACUAAGACUUCAGAAUUAAAAUUUCCUGGCUUUAUGAAGGGUGGAGAGAGGAUCAGGGAAGAGGGUGGGCAUAAAUUGAAGAAAUUUUCUCAAUAUGCUGCUGUCUUCUCUUCUGCUGCUGUGGCUCUAACCAUGACUGAGAGGUUGCCCUCACAGAGUUGGACAUCAAGCUUCUUAUUACAAGGACUUUGACUCUCCUACAGUGUGCCUGUGGAAUGAAUUACUCAGCACAGCAAGGCAAAAAAGGACACUUCGAAGUUAAUUUUGAAUUCUAGAGCUAUCCAAUACUGCAUGCAAAUGGAAAUCUCAGAACACAAAGGAACUGACUUGUAGUCCCCAAAAUGCACAGCUCAGAAAUACUAGUUUAUUGUCAAAAUGAUUUGCAAAUAAAUCUUAUUUUUAACUUCUUUCUGACA
Non-coding RNA from Sturnus vulgaris (Common starling), 526 nucleotides. NCBI's taxonomy places the organism in Eukaryota, Metazoa, Chordata, Aves, Passeriformes, Sturnidae. The record is from RefSeq and is a predicted model, not a curated record.